Molecule: ribosomal RNA, 762 nt
Filed under: uncultured bacterium
Lineage: Bacteria
Description: bacterial SSU rRNA
Rfam family: Bacterial small subunit ribosomal RNA
Source: RNAcentral
AGAGUUUGAUCCUGGCUCAGAUUGAACGCUGGCGGCAGGCUUAACACAUGCAAGUCGAGCGGGAAUAGGUAGCUUGCUACCGAUUUCUAGCGGCGGACGGGUGAGUAAUGCUUAGGAAUCUGCCUAUUAGUGGGGGACAACAUUUCGAAAGGGAUGCUAAUACCGCAUACGUCCUACGGGAGAAAGCAGGGGAUCUUCGGACCUUGCGCUAAUAGAUGAGCCUAAGUCGGAUUAGCUAGUUGGUGGGGUAAAGGCCUACCAAGGCGACGAUCUGUAGCGGGUCUGAGAGGAUGAUCCGCCACACUGGGACUGAGACACGGCCCAGACUCCUACGGGAGGCAGCAGUGGGGAAUAUUGGACAAUGGGGGGAACCCUGAUCCAGCCAUGCCGCGUGUGUGAAGAAGGCCUUUUGGUUGUAAAGCACUUUAAUCUAGGACCACGCUACUUUAGUUAAUACCUAGAGAUAAUGGAGGGGGCUCGCAGAAUAAGCACCGGCUAACUCUGUGCCAGCAGCCGCGGUAAUACAGAGGGUGCGAGCGUUAAUCGGAUUUACUGGGCGUAAAGCGUGCGUAGGCGGCUUUUUAAGUCGGAUGUGAAAUCCCCGAGCUUAACUUGGGAAUUGCAUUCGAUACUGGGAAGCUAGAGUAUGGGAGAGGAUGGUAGAAUUCCAGGUGUAGCGGUGAAAUGCGUAGAGAUCUGGAGGAAUACCGAUGGCGAAGGCAGCCAUCUGGCCUAAUACUGACGCUGAGGCACGAAAGCAUG